This 508-nucleotide ribosomal RNA is filed under the name uncultured bacterium. RNAcentral's name for it is "partial 16S ribosomal RNA". It matches the Rfam family "Bacterial small subunit ribosomal RNA", at positions 28 to 507 of the family's 1533-position model. The record is from RNAcentral.
GACGAACGCUGGCGGCGUGCCUAAUACAUGCGAGUCGAGCGCAGGAAGUCAUCCGAACCCUUCGGGGGGACGUUGACGGAAUGAGCGGCGGACGGGUGAGUAACACGUAAAGAACCUGCCCUCAGGUCUGGGAUAACCACGAGAAAUCGGGGCUAAUACCGGAUGGGUCAUCGGACCGCAUGGUCCGAGGAUGAAAGGCGCUCCGGCGUCGCCUGGGGAUGGCUUUGCGGUGCAUUAGCUAGUUGGUGGGGUAAUGGCCCACCAAGGCGACGAUGCAUAGCCGACCUGAGAGGGUGAUCGGCCACACUGGGACUGAGACACGGCCCAGACUCCUACGGGAGGCAGCAGUAGGGAAUCUUCCACAAUGGGCGAAAGUCUGAUGGAGCAACGCCGCGUGAACGAUGAAGGCCCUCGGGUCGUAAAGUUCUGUUGUAAGGGAAGAACAAGUGCCGCAGGCAAUGGCGGCACCUUGACGGUACCUGGCGAGAAAGCCACGGCUAACUACGUG